GCGCUCCAGCGUGCUCAGGUGUGUCCGGCUGAGCUGGUCGAUCACCGAGUACACGUCCCGGAUCACCUCCCGCCGGUCCGGCUGACCUGAAGACGCAGGCGCGGUCCAUCAUCCAGAUGAGGGAGGAGCAGUACUCGCAGUAGGUGGGGAUGCUGUACUGGGUGGACUUGAAGAUGUGUCCGUUGUGCUCCUCCACCUGCAGGAGGACCCGGUCAGCUCGGCUCGGAUCAAUUUCAUUAUGAAUAAACUAUUAAAACUCACAA
Molecule: long non-coding RNA, 263 nt
Organism: Pseudoliparis swirei
Lineage: Eukaryota; Metazoa; Chordata; Actinopteri; Perciformes; Liparidae
Exons: 2
Source: RefSeq, a predicted model, not a curated record